GUAGAGUAAAAAAAAAAAAAAAGAAAAAAUGACAGAGAAAACAUAUACAUGUAUGUAUAUAUAUGUAUGUAUAUAUAUGUAUGUAUAUGUGUGUAUAUAUAUAUAGAUAAAUAUAUAUAUAUAUAUUUAUAUGUUACUUGUAUCUUUUGUCUACCUACAUUGAUAUUAAGUACUACUACUACCUACUACUACUUCUACUACUACUAGACGUCACGUUGACCUGAGGCUUCCAAAGACAUACUUGAUGUGUGUCCCGAACCUAGAUCAUGGCAUUGGCAAAAUGGAUGAUGUGUUGCUAUCACAUGGUUUCCGUUUCAUUUAUACUGACUUCCUUCUUUUGCUUCCAGGGGUCGCUCUACCUGCAGGACCAGUUCCAUGUCACUAUGCACUACAGUCAGCCCAAAAUGGGGCCUGAGAAAGUACAGAAGUGUGACUGGGUUUGUACGAAGUGUGGAGCUCACAAUUUCAAACGAAGGGAUUUCUGUUUCCAAUGCAGUGUGUCACGAGAAGAAUCAGAACGAGCCAAAGAAGGAGAUGGAUUUGAUCAAGUUGGGACAAACCCUUGCAAUACUUUGAUAUUCCGUGGUUUGGAUGCCCUGACCACUGAAGAAACGUUGUCGCAAGCACUGAGCCAGCAAAUGUCGCUUACACUGAAAAACAUUAAGAUCAUCCGUGAUGAAUUAACGAACACGUCACAGGGCUAUGGUUUUGCCGAAAUGGGUUCCAUCCUCGAGUCUACGCAAGUCUUGGAGCAUUUACGCCAGAUGAACCCACCUUUUGAAGUGGAGGGCAAACUAAUCUUGGUAGCAUUUGCCAAGAACACCUUCAGCACGGUAAUGGCAACACUAAACAGUCGACCUAACUCAUACACGGGAGGUCAAAUGGUGAGUAAGCAGCGUUCCUGGAACUAUGAUCAGCAACAUGGUGAUUAUUAUUAUAAUCCUUCUGGUUAUGAACAUUCAACAUUCUACGACCAAAAUAAUCCUCACUAUGGCCAAGGUCAAGGUUAUGACUCCAGUUACUACAACCAAAAUUACACCCAUCAAGCCGAUUCCACCAACGCUGCAGCUGCUGUAGCACAGGCUGCCAUCCAACAAGCUCAAGCUGCUAAACAGUACCAGAAACAUUAUCAGAAACAGGUGCAAGAACAACAGAAAUUGGCUGAAAUGUCUCCCGAGCAGCGUUUGGCCCAUCUGGCUCAGAAUUGGUCACAACAAAAAAAUCUUUCUCCAUCUUCACAGUCUUCCCAGGCGCUAUCAGCAGCUGGAACCGCAGCCACGGCAGCCGCCGUAACAGUCGGCGCACCCACCACUGUCGAUGUGAAUGCAGACGGCAGCACAAUCACUGAUAGUUCUACACAUAAAGGCUCGCCAACCGUUUCCAAACUGCCUGUACUACAGAGUUCACAACCUGCCUUUCAGACGCCAACAGGAAUGCCAGUCAAUGACGAGUACCCCAAAUAUCCAUCGCCUGAUGUUUGUACCUAUCAAUACGACGACAGCUCUGGAUAUUACUAUGAUCCUUCCACUGGACUCUACUACGAUGCCAACUCUCAAUAUUAUUACAAUGCUUCCACGUGCCAAUUUUUGUACUGGGAUGCUGAGAAAUCCACUUACCUACCUGCUCCAACUGGGGCUGGCGGUCAGCAAUGUGAUGACAAAGAUGGAGACAACAGAGGCAAAAAGAAGGAAGACAAGAAAGAAAAAGUGAAGAUUGCCAAAAAAAUUGCAAAGGACAUGGAAAAGUGGGCGAAAACAUUGAACGCUCAAAAAGAAGCCAUCAAAGAAGGUUUUAAGAAGACAAAUGUAAAUAUCAUUGGUCCCGUUAUUCCUAUGAAACGGGUGAUUGAAGAACGUGAGUCUGCAACUGCUGACGCUGGCUAUGCAAUCCUUGAGAAAACGAGUAGCGGCAGAGGUCUAGAAGACAAGCGGUUAAUGCCUCCACCUUGUCCAAUGACGCCUACUGAGAAGGCAGCCGCGGCAGCUGCAGCAGCUGCCGCUGCUACUGAGGCAGUAGCAGCCAACAAUCCGGCCCUCGUGGCCUCAUAUGGAGGUGACAGUGAUUCUGAGGACGAAUCAUUUGAGACAACGCCAGCACCUGGCAAUACCCAACGAACUGGUGUCCUUGAUGAGGCUAAGCUGACCGACUGGAACAAACUCGCUUGUUUGCUGUGCAAACGACAGUUUCCCAGCAAAGAGGCUCUCACAAGACACACGCAACUCUCUGAUUUACACAAGCAAAAUCUUGAAGUGAUGAGGAAAAAAUAUAGCUCUGGUGCAGUUGAUGGGGAUAAAAAAGGACCGCUACGAGGAACCAACCAAGCAAGGUAUCGGCAUUGAUAACAUUGGAAACAAACUGCUACAGAAGAUGGGGUGGAGUGAGGGACAAGGUCUGGGUAAAAAAGGUCAAGGGAUUGUUGCACCUAUCCAGGCCCAGCGGAGAUUGGCGAGUGCGGGACUCGGUGCUCGGGGAGCAAACAUUGUCUGUGAUGUCAGCGACUCUUACAAAACGGCAGUGAAGAAAUCCAUGUUUGCACGCUACCAUGAACUUGAAUGAACUCCACAUUCAUUCAGUGUCUGUCAGCCAUGUCAUGCUCUUUCUCUCUUUCUUUCUUUCUUGUACAUAGUUUGCUGCUAUAUAUUCUUCACCACCAACAAUUAUUUGUUCACCACCACCACCACCACCACAAACUUUUUUUUUUUUGGGUCCUCUUGCUCUCUCACUCUCUCUGUGUGUCCCAAGCUCUCACUCACUCUCAAAUCUGUUGUUCCAGAUAUUGGAAAAAAAGACAGUUUUUUGUUGUUGUUGUUUUAUUUUUUUAAAAGGACUAAACAACAUUCUCCUUUCAACCUUUUCCAUCUCUUUCAUCAUUUACCAUUUAUUAAAACCAUCAUUUCAUUAAGCAUAAACCAAGAGAAAAAAAAUUUUUUUCAAAAACAAAAAAAAAGUUAUAAAAUUUCGGAGAAAAAAAAAAUAAAACAUUUUUUGAAAAAAAAAUUUUGAUUUUCUUA
Unclassified non-coding RNA from Octopus bimaculoides (California two-spot octopus), 3011 nucleotides. NCBI's taxonomy places the organism in Eukaryota, Metazoa, Mollusca, Cephalopoda, Octopoda, Octopodidae. The record is from RefSeq and is a predicted model, not a curated record.